CAAAUACAAGGCUAAGAGGUGCUGGCCGUGUCCGUGGUGUGGCUAUGAAUCCUGUUGAACAUCCAUUUGGUGGUGGUAACCAUCAGCACAUUGGUAAACCUUCAACCAUUAGGAGAGAUGCUCCAGCAGGUCGUAAAGUAGGUCUUAUUGCAGCACGUCGUACCGGAAGGUUGCGUGGUACAAAGACCGUCCAGGAAAAAGAGAACUAAAUUUUUUCAUUGCUUACUUGACUUAUUAAAAUUAUUUAAAAGGAAAA
Long non-coding RNA from Protopterus annectens (West African lungfish), 256 nucleotides. RefSeq lists it as uncharacterized. The transcript has 2 exons. The record is from RefSeq and is a predicted model, not a curated record. NCBI's taxonomy places the organism in Eukaryota, Metazoa, Chordata, Ceratodontiformes, Protopteridae.